This is a long non-coding RNA of Gossypium raimondii (Peruvian cotton), 1290 nucleotides long. RefSeq lists it as uncharacterized. The transcript is spliced from 5 exons. NCBI's taxonomy places the organism in Eukaryota, Viridiplantae, Streptophyta, Magnoliopsida, Malvales, Malvaceae. The record is from RefSeq and is a predicted model, not a curated record.
AAUUUUAGUAGACAAAAUAUAAGAUUUUUUAGCAGAGUAAAACGGCGUCGUUUUGUUUUGUGGCGUUUUUAUUAAAAACGCCGCAAUAGAUAAGCAAUAGCGGCAUUUUUGUGAAAAACGCCGCGAAAAGUAAUUAAAAUCCCGCUCACUCCCAAAAAUUAAUUUUUGGUUACCCGCUCAUUACUCCCUCUUCUUCUCAUCUCAGUCGUGCGCCCUAAAUCCCCAAAGAAAAGUUCGUUUUUCUUCAGCUGAAAUCCCCCAAAUUUCCCAUUUCCAACAACACCAGUCAAUACACCUACACCAAUCACACUUUUUUUUCCUUUUCAUUUCACUGCACUGAAUUCACUCACCAUAGCUACUCCUUUUCUCUCGAUCUGUUAGGGGUUCUUUCAAUUUUAGGCUUUCAAUACAGUUUCCUUUUAAUUUUACUGGUGAUUUCUAUAGUGACUAAAACCCUAGAUGAGAAGAAAUCGGAGGAAGAGGAGUUGAAAGAUAAAGGAAACGAAGAGAGGAGUAAGGUUGUUCGCUGAAAUAAACAGAUAAAAAAAAAGGUUGAAGAAGGGUUUAUUAAAUUCCUGGGGCCUUACUAUAUGCUGCUUAUUACAAAACGAAGACAGAUUGGAGCACUUUUCAGACACAAUGUAUAUGCAGUUUCGAAAAGUGAGAUGAUUCCCCUCCCAAAUUCAUCUGUUAACCCAAGCAUUGCGGACUUUAGGAAAGAGAACAGUGACUACAGUAAAGUCUGCUAGACAGGUCAUUGAUGCACUGAAUGCUGAGGGACCUGACAUUGAUAUAAUACUUACUGAAGUCGACCUCCCAAUGACAAAAGGAAUGAAGUUGCUAAAGUAUAUUAUGCGGAAUAAUGAACUACGGCGCAUUCCUGAUAUUAUGAUGUCGGCCCAGGAUGAGGUCUCUAUUGUUGUUAAGUGCCUGAGGCUUGGUGCUGCUGACUAUCUUGUCAAGCCUUUACGAACCAAUGAAUUGUUGAACUUGUGGACACACAUGUGGAGAAGGCGAUGUGAGCAGGGAUGAUGAAGAUGAUUCUGUUGCCAAGAUGAAGGCAGCUGAGGAAGCCUUGGAAGCAAAACAAAAAGUAACAAAUAGCUUGUCUGCUACCUGUUCUUUUUUUUUUUAUAAUGUUUUAUAAUUUUGUGACAAAUUGUUCUUGGUACUCUGCAGAUAUUUAUGCAAAAUUACCCUAUGAUUCUAUUGUAUUUAUACUGCAUGGUUGCACCAUGUAUUUCUUAACUAGUUUAAUAAAUUUUAUAUGUGGUGUUUAAUUUUUCGUUA